GUCGUCCCCUUCUCCUCCUGCCCCCAAUCCCUUCCAGCAUCAGAAGUCUUCUCCAACACCACACUUCAAAAGCAUCAAUUCUUUGGUGCUCAGCCUUCUUCACAGUCCAACUCUCACAUCCAUACAUGACCACUGGAAAAACCAUAGCCUUGACUAGACGACCUUUGUUGGCAAAGUAAUGUCUCUGCUUUUGAAUAUGCUGUCUAGGUUGGACAUAACUUUCCUUCCAAGGAGUAAGCGUCUUUUAAUUUCAUGGCUGCAGUCACCAUCUGCAGUCAUUUUGGAGCCCCCAAAAAUAAAGUCAACCACUGUUUCCCCAUCUAUUUCCCAUGAAGUCAGGGGACCAGAUGCCAUGAUCUUCGUUUUCUGAAUGUUGAGCUUUAAGCCAACUUUUUCACUCUCCACUUUCACUUUCAUCAAGAGGCUUUUGAGUUCCUCUUCACUUUCUGCCAAAAGGGUGGUGUCAUCUGCAUAUCUGAGGUUAUUGCCAUUUCUCCUGGCAAUCUUGAUUCCAGCUUGUGUUUCUUCCAGUCCAGUGUUUCUCAUGAUGUACUCUGCAUAUAAGUUAAAUAAGCAGGGUGACAAUAGCAAAAGCAUAUUUUCUCCUUUUACACGGAGAGACAAAAACACCACUUUACAUCUAUUUCCUUUAGACUAUACUUCAAGAUCUGAUGUGAAAAGACCAUCAUUUGGUGUUUUUCGUGUUUCAAUGAGAGAUAGCAGUAGCCAGACACCUUGCAGUGAACAGUCCAUAGCAAGGAAGAAUAGUAAUGGAGCUACAGGUGCAGCCCAUGAUGCUGAUAAGCCACAAGGUGAGACUCAGGCUUGCACUUCGGGGUCUUCAAUAAACAGAAGUCAAGAUACAGUUAGGAAAAGAGGGGGAAGUAGCUAUCUCUCCAUCUCUCUCUUAAGGAGCCUGCUUUUCUUUUCCACAAGGACAGUCUUCCUAUCAAUUCAAACUAUUUAACAUUUGUAUUCAGACUAUGUAACUGGUAAUUCCUGACUUUGAUUCUACUUCCCAGAAUAUAAUAUACAGGCA
Long non-coding RNA from Bos taurus (domestic cattle), 1039 nucleotides. The record is from Ensembl. NCBI's taxonomy places the organism in Eukaryota, Metazoa, Chordata, Mammalia, Artiodactyla, Bovidae.